AACCCAUGAUGCGGGCAAAGUCUCAUCGUGUCUUUAUAUCUUUCCUAGGCUUCAAAAAGGGAUUCUCCAUCAUCUUGUCUUAAAAAAGUUAUUUGGUUUCUGAAUAC
Molecule: small nucleolar RNA, 107 nt
Organism: Lathyrus oleraceus (garden pea)
Lineage: Eukaryota; Viridiplantae; Streptophyta; Magnoliopsida; Fabales; Fabaceae
Source: RefSeq, a predicted model, not a curated record